UACAGAGGUCCCGAGCGUUGUUCGGAUUCACUGGGCGUAAAGGGUGCGUAGGUGGUGGGGUAAGUCGGAUGUGAAAUCUCCGGGCUCAACCCGGAAAUGGCAUUGGAAACUACCUUGCUAGAGGAUUUGAGGGGGGAUUGGAAUACUUGGUGUAGCAGUGAAAUGCGUAGAUAUCAAGUGGAACACCAGUGGCGAAGGCGGCAUCCUGGACCGGUAUUGACGCUGAGGCGCGAAAGCUAGGGUAGCAAACGGG
RNAcentral lists this ribosomal RNA (253 nucleotides) under uncultured bacterium. Its description in RNAcentral is "partial 16S ribosomal RNA". It matches the Rfam family "Bacterial small subunit ribosomal RNA", at positions 524 to 776 of the family's 1533-position model. The record is from RNAcentral.